UACGUAGGGUGCGAGCGUUGUCCGGAAUUAUUGGGCGUAAAGCGCGUGUAGGCGGCUUUGCAAGUCGGGUGUGAAAGCCCUCAGCUCAACUGAGGAAGUGCGCCCGAAACUGCAGAGCUUGAGUGCCGGAGAGGGUGGCGGAAUUCCCCAAGUAGAGGUGAAAUUCGUAGAUAUGGGGAGGAACACCGGUGGCGAAGGCGGCCACCUGGACGGUAACUGACGCUGAGACGCGAAAGCGUGGGUAGCAAACAGG
This 253-nucleotide ribosomal RNA is filed under the name uncultured bacterium. Its description in RNAcentral is "partial 16S ribosomal RNA". It matches the Rfam family "Bacterial small subunit ribosomal RNA", at positions 524 to 776 of the family's 1533-position model. The record is from RNAcentral.